CUGAUACAAUUGCCAAAGCCACAUGCUUGGUAAUGCUUCAUUUGUCCCCUUCCCCUCUCGAUGAAUUUGUAGUUUCUUCUUAGGCUCCGUUCGUUUCGCGGAAAAUAACUUCCAGGAAAAUAUUUUCCGGAUUUUCCGGUGUUCGGGUGAGCGGAAAAUCACGGUCAACGGAAAACAUUUUCCGUUGACCGGAAAAUUCCUUCUUUGCAGCUUGGAAAAUGUUUUCCUCUUUUGAAAAGAGGAAAACAUUUUCCAAGCCUCGCCUCUUCUCUUCCUUCGGUUCUUGUUCUCUCUCUCUUGCUCUCCUUGCUGCGAAGUUGGCUUUGACGACGUCCUUCUCCGAGACUAGCCUCCGCCCUCCCUGGCCGCUCCUGCCCGCCUGCUCCGGCCGGGGCGCCGCCGCCACCGCCGCGCUCCGCUUCCCCGGCGGCUUGAAGCCGCUCGGGAGGAUCCGGCUCAAGAGGGAGCUCCGCGGCGGCGCCGAGAGGCUCGCGGGGAGAUCUGUCACCAGAUCCGGCGAGCUCGGGUGAGAUCGGCCGAGCCUCGAGCUCGCCGGAUCUGGUAGCGGAGCUCGCGGCUCGCCGGAUCUGGCAGCGGAGCUCGCGGCUCGCCGGAUCUGGCAGCGGAGCUCGCGGCUUGCCGGAUUCAGGCGAGCUCGAGCUCUGUCGCCAGAUCCGGUGAGCUCGGGUGAGAUCGGCCGAGCCUCGAGCUCACCAGAGUGGCCACCGGGUCUUGGUCGGCCGCUGGGCAGCCGGCCAUCGUCAGGCAGGAAGGAGGCGGCGGCAGCGGCGGAACGAGGAGGAAGAAGGAGGAGGAAGGAGGCGACGGCGGACGAAGCCGCUCGGGAGGAAUCGGGAGGAAGAAGGAGGAGGAAGGAGGAAGGAAAAAAAAUAAUAAUAAAAAUUUCUAUUUUAAAAAUAUAAAUAAUUAAAAAAUCAUUUUUUUAAAAAAAUAUAAAUAAAUAAAAUAAUUUUUUUGGUCAAUUAAAAAUAUUAAAAUUCAAUUUUUGAUAAUUUUUUUUCAGGAAAAUGUUUGAGCUAACGAACAGUGGAAAAUAUUUUCCACUCAAAUUUUAGAUUUUGACCGAACAUCGGAAAAUAGAGUUCCUGGAAAAUAACUUCCAGGAAAAUGUUUUCCGGAAAUAUGAUAUUUUCCGUGAAACGAACGGAGCCUUAAAUGCUGAUCAUGGCCCCAAACUAUAUACAUGCGCGUCUUUCGCAUUAGAAAAUUAGCUGCGCUCUUCCUUGAUCUUAAUCAUCUUUUUUCCUAGUCCGUGUAAUAUAAUAGAUAAAGUACAUGAAAAUAGAACUCAAACACAUCAUGUCAAUGUAUCUUUCUAUGCGUAAUAGAUGUCAAAUCACAAUUGAAAAUAGUGUCACUUUUCCAAUCAAGGCACUUCAAUAAUGAAAGGGAGGACCAUUAGCCAAGUGGAUACAAGGCACUUCAAUAAUGAAAGGGAGGACCAUUAGCCAAGUGGAUACAUAUCACAUCAGAAAUAUCUUCACAAGAAAUGCAUUGACUAAUAUGACUC
RNAcentral lists this long non-coding RNA (1531 nucleotides) under Eucalyptus grandis. RNAcentral's name for it is "long non-coding RNA (EGRA_LNC003654)". The stretch from base 603 to 686 matches the Rfam family "MIR1846 microRNA precursor family", at positions 1 to 86 of the family's 110-position model. Lineage: Eukaryota; Viridiplantae; Streptophyta; Magnoliopsida; Myrtales; Myrtaceae. The record is from RNAcentral.